CUCAUCUGCUACUUGGUCCCCGGGUUCCACCUCUAUUUGAACUUUGAAAAUAACUAAAGAAUUAAAUGAAAACUCAGUAUGGCUCCCAAUGCCUACCAGAAGCAGCAGUAGUGAAUGGUUUCAAAAUGUCAGUCUGAUGAGAAAACACCAGAACUACCAUGGAGAAUGAUAAAUGGAAGAGUAAGCAGCAGAAAAACAACCAAGAACUACACGGCUCAUCAGCUGGGAAUUCCCCAGAGUUUGGCAAUGCUGUGUUUCCUGCCUUAGAAUUUGUGACCCCCGGUUGACCUUUGUAUCAUUUACAUAGAGGGGCUUCUCUGAAAGAAGAACCACAUGCACACUUAAUAAAAAACGGGUGGGGACUCAGAGUCACCCAUGUGCUUCUUAGUUCCUUUUUACCUGAUACAACCUAGAGACAUCUGAG
This 424-nucleotide long non-coding RNA is filed under the name Cricetulus griseus (Chinese hamster). RNAcentral describes it as "lncRNA (ENSCGRG00015005367.2)". Lineage: Eukaryota; Metazoa; Chordata; Mammalia; Rodentia; Cricetidae. The record is from RNAcentral.